This 305-nucleotide ribosomal RNA is filed under the name uncultured bacterium. RNAcentral describes it as "bacterial SSU rRNA". It matches the Rfam family "Bacterial small subunit ribosomal RNA", at positions 338 to 660 of the family's 1533-position model. The record is from RNAcentral.
CCUACGGGAGGCAGCAGUGGGGGAUAUUGCACAAUGGGGGAAACCCUGAUGCAGCGACGCCGCGUGUGGGAAGACGGUCCUCUGGAUUGUAAACCACUGUCCCCAGGGACGAAGAUGACGGUACCUGGGGAGGAAGCUCCGGCUAACUACGUGCCAGCAGCCGCGGUAAUACGUAGGGAGCGAGCGUUGUCCGGAAUUACUGGGGGUAAAGGGAGCGUAGGCGGGACGGCAAGUUGGGUGGCAAAUCUACCGGCGCAACCGGUAGCCGCACUCAAAACUGAAGGUCUUGAGUGAAGGAGAGGGAG